AGUGAGCGCUGGCGGUAGGCCUAACACAUGCAAGUCGAACGGCAGCACAGUAAGAGCUUGCUCUUACGGGUGGCGAGUGGCGGACGGGUGAGGAAUACAUCGGAAUCUACUUUUUCGUGGGGGAUAACGUAGGGAAACUUACGCUAAUACCGCAUACGACCUACGGGUGAAAGCAGGGGAUCUUCGGACCUUGCGCGAUUGAAUGAGCCGAUGUCGGAUUAGCUAGUUAGCGGGGUAAAGGCCCACCAAGGCGACGAUCCGUAGCUGGUCUGAGAGGAUGAUCAGCCACACUGGAACUGAGACACGGUCCAGACUCCUACGGGAGGCAGCAGUGGGGAAUAUUGGACAAUGGGCGCAAGCCUGAUCCAGCCAUACCGCGUGGGUGAAGAAGGCCUUCGGGUUGUAAAGCCCUUUUGUUGGGAAAGAAAAGCAGCAGGUUAAUACCCCGCUGUUCUGACGGUACCCAAAGAAUAAGCACCGGCUAACUUCGUG
Molecule: ribosomal RNA, 492 nt
Filed under: uncultured bacterium
Lineage: Bacteria
Description: partial 16S ribosomal RNA
Rfam family: Bacterial small subunit ribosomal RNA
Source: RNAcentral